This 3497-nucleotide long non-coding RNA is filed under the name Homo sapiens (human). RNAcentral's name for it is "non-protein coding lnc-GRIA3-5:1". The record is from RNAcentral. Lineage: Eukaryota; Metazoa; Chordata; Mammalia; Primates; Hominidae.
CCCACUCUAGGUUCCCACGCCGCCCCUAAUCCCGCUUGAAGCAGGCCUGAGAAACAUCGCCCAUUCUCUCUCCAUACCAAGCCCCAAAAGUUUUCACCGCCCCAACACUUCAACACUAUUUUGUUUUAUUUUUCUUAUUAAUAUACCAUCGCAUCCCCUGUGACUUGCACGUAUACGCCCAGAUGGCCUGAAGUAACUGAAGAAUCACAGAAGAAAGUCAAGGAAACUUAUUUUAUGCUAUUUGCAGUCUUUAAUAAUUGAGUAAGGCAGAGUCCUGUGAAGAAAAUUUGGAGCAUGUUUGUUUCUCUCUGCCUGUUUCCUCUAGAAUUUGGAAACUAUCUGUGAGUAUUCUUAACUUAUGGCAACAUGAUUCUUUGCACCAGUACAACAAGAAGCUAUUUUCUUUUGCAACAGGACACAAUUGGAGGAACUGGUUCUUUUACCAAAGUUUUUACUAGAAGGAUAUGCUUCCCUUUAAGGAAUCAAGCUUGGCUUACAGAAUUGAUAAAAUCUCCUUGGGAAAACUGUACUGAUAGCAUGUUUACACAGUCUCCAUAUAGGAUUCCUAACCUGUGGUGAAUAAAGAAUGUCAUUUUCUAACAGACCCAGGAACCCCAUAUUAUUAGGACCUCAAGAAGAGAGAAAUUCACCCAGCUCAUAGGUAUUUGAGAGUACAAACCCAUGCCUGGGCUCAACUUUAAUAACUCCUAUCUGAGAUGCCUUGAGGAACAGAGUUCCAUCAUAUCCAAUUUUAAAAACCUAUGUAAAAAUAAUUGUUCUUGCUGCACUUUAUGGAAAUAAUCAGGCUAACUAUAAGACUAAAGUUUAUUUUAUGCUCACUAGAAGAAUGGGGUGGAGCCACCAAGAAUUUGUGCCUUAUGCAGGGAAGGAGGCUGGCAUCUUCAACUCAUGUGUAGUGGCCUAAUAUUCAAUUUGUGAGGUGGAAACCUGCAUCUAAGACCUCUCAUUUUGUUGACAGCUUUUUUUUUUUUUUUUUUUGAUUAACAAAUUCUGCCCUCCUUACCUUUUAAUGUGUCUACAUGCCUAAUUUUUCCUGGUUGUGAAACAAGAUCCCAGAUUUAGCUGAACUAAGGAGCAAAAAUCUUGCAUCCAAAAUACCAUAAUUAAAUAGGAAACAAACUGGAGCACGCUUUAAAGACAGAUGCAGAUUUGAAUAUUUUCUUAAACCUUUGAGAAUAAAGAUACAUCUAUUUAAGAUCUUCUCAGGGACAAACAUUAGCUUUUUUCAAUAUUUAAAUGUAAACAUCUCUACCCAUACAUGAAGGAAUCCCAACAACUUAAUAUUUAGCCAUUAUGGUGAUUGGAAGUUCUCUUAUAUUUUGCUGGUAAUUUAACUCUCUCACUACCACAGGGUUCUUUUGUUUGCUUGGCUGUCUACUUUCCUGACUGAAAGGACAAACCCUUAUUUCUGACCUUUCUGCUGUUAACCUUUUUGGCUCAGUCAGGAUUGCCUUCAAUUUCCUUUGAAGGUAAAAGUACACUUUAGCAAGUAGAAGGCAUAAGUAAGCAAUAGACUUGUUCAAUGAAUCACUGAAUGAAUGAAAGAAUCCAUGACUACUUUAUUAUCAUCUUACCCUUGCAGUAAUCCUUAGAAAUAGACAACACUACCUGUACUUUAGCAGAUGAGGAAUCUGUAGCCCUGAUAUAUAUAUAUAUUAUCCCUGGGACCAUCACCUUACUAGUUAUCAUUAUCAUCAUCACCAUUCCUAGGACGUACACAGUGCUACUUUGUGCUAGCCACUCUUCGAAGUGUUUUCCAUAUAUGAACUCAUAUCCUUCUCAUAACUGCCUUAUAAAUUAGGAGCUAUUUUUAGUCACACUGUAAACAAACAAACAAAAAAUCCUAAGUGCCCCCCAACCCCCUUGGAACCAACUAAACUAACAAGCUCUGAGCCAAGGAAAGCCAGGAAAACUGAAUUCCUGGCCAUGUGGAGAAGGGAGAUUGGACACGUCUCAUUAAAACCUCUCCCUUUUGGAGUUAAGGGACAACUAACCAGCAUUAACAUUAAAGUAGACAUCGUAAUCCUGACAAAACAGACUCCUUGGCAGUAAGAAACCAAAUUCCAACCUGACUCUGGUAUAGCAUCACAUGAUACAUAGCUGACCCUGAAGAAAAUCAAAAUAGUUUACCCCAAAAUACAUUUCUUUGACAUAUUUCGAAAUGGCACUGAAAAGCCAUCUUUGUGAGAGAAAUUUUACAUCUGUAGAGAGUCUCCAUUAAUGCAGAUAGGCCUUUCCCAGAUCUGGGAGAGAUUAACUAAGAAUCUCACACUUUUUAAGAUCUCCAAAAACACAUUUACCAUCUAUUCUGGCCUCAUCUAUAUAACAAGAACCUUGGCUUUGCCACCCCUCUUAUGUUAAUUCAAGCACUUCUUUCUACUGACUUCAAGUCUUUAGCUUAACUCUCAACCAAUUGCCAAUCAAAAAAUCUUUGAAUCCACCUAUAACCUGUAAGCCCCUCUGCUUUGAGAUAUCCCACCUUUCAGAGCUGAACCAACAUAUACCUUGCAUGUAUUGGUUUAUGUCUUUGCCAGUAACUUCUGUCUCCCUAAAAUGUAGAAAAGUAAACUAAACUAACUUCUCAGGACCUUUUUCAAACAGAUCCUUGGACCAUGGUCACUCACAUUGGCUUAAAAUAAAGCUCUUAAAAUAUGUUACAAAGUUUAGCUUUUUCAUCAACAACAUUUAUAAGUAAAGUAACUGAGGAACAGAAAGGUUUAGUAACUUGCUCAAUGUCAAAAUAUAGUGGCAAACCAGAAGUUUGAAAUCAGGCAACUUGUCUCUAUUAUCUGUCCUCUAAACCACUAUGUGAACUUGCCUAACUAGUAAGAGGCAGAAAUGGGGAAGGAAAACUAGUCUGUCUGAUUCCAGAAACUGCCAUUUUCCACUACACAAAGGUGACUCCAAAGGCACCGUGCUUGUACAAUUUGGGAAAUCAUUCUCUUUUGAUUGAUUGUAGGUAGAGUCUACAUGGAAAAUUGGUAACAUAAUUGUUAGGUGACCUUUAGGAAAAAAUACGCAUUUUUCAGGUAUUUGAAGGUGAUUUUUCAUGAGAAAUUAUGGGAUUUCUACAAAAGUGACUGGGAAUCAGAUCUCACAUUUGGUACCUUCUAAAAAAUAAUAUUCUUUUUAUUCUAAUUAGCACAGCCAUCAAAGAUUUCUGAAGCUUAUUUGGCCUUGUCUAGAACAUGCUGCCAUGUAUGACUGCCCCAAGUGACAGGAGAAAGCCAAAAACAAGACCCAGCAAUGGAAGUUUUAGCAGGAUUCCAGCUGUCAGAAUUAACCAUGAGCCAACUCCUAUAGAAUAACCAUCCAAUUGUAUCCUCCAUGCUUAGCCUGUUUGUCCAAGUAAAUUGCAGACUUAUCCAGAACAGAGACUGUGUAUUAUUUGUAUCCUUAUCCCCUUCUACAAUAGAGGUUAAAUGAGGUUUUGAAACCAUGGAAACUUACUGGUAACUGUAUCACAAUGCUCAUAU